This 383-nucleotide unclassified non-coding RNA is filed under the name uncultured Pirellulaceae bacterium. RNAcentral describes it as "contains 16S-23S intergenic spacer region". Lineage: Bacteria; Pseudomonadati; Planctomycetota; Planctomycetia; Pirellulales; Pirellulaceae. The record is from RNAcentral.
UCCGGUUUAACACCGGCAGUCUCUCCAGAGUUCCCGGCAUAACCCGCUGGUAACUGGAGACAAGGGUUUCGCUCGUUAAGCGACUUAACGCGACAUCUCACGACACGAGCUGACGACAGCCAUGCAGCACCUGUGUAAAGGCUCCCUUGCGGGCACUCCCAACUUUCAUCGGGAUUCCUAAACAUGUCAAGACUAGGAUAAGGUUCUUCGCGUAGCCUCGAAUUGAGCCACAUCCUCCACCGCUUGUGUGAGCCCCCGUCAAUUCCUUUGAGUUUCAGCCUUGCGGCCAUACUCCCCAGGCGGAACACUUAACGCUUUCGCUACGACCGAAAUCCUGUGAGGGGGACUUCGAUCUAGUGUUCAUCGUUUAAGGCUAGGACUAC